Molecule: long non-coding RNA, 246 nt
Filed under: Capsicum annuum
Lineage: Eukaryota; Viridiplantae; Streptophyta; Magnoliopsida; Solanales; Solanaceae
Description: long non-coding RNA (CANN_LNC019149)
Source: RNAcentral
UAAAAGAUGUUAAUCUUGAAGCUUACGAGUCAAGUGUCUUUUGUGUAUCUUCUUAAAUAAUGGAUGUGAAUCUUCCCUCAUUAUUAUUUCUCAAACACCAUAUGUUUUAAUGUGAUUAUGAUUCUUAAACUGUGAUUUUGGAAACCAAAAUUGAGGUUUUGUUGCAUAUGAUUGAGUAUUAUUUACUCUUGGUUUAACUUAUGUUUAUACAUGUUUUUGGUCAUGGUUGCACAUGUGGGUGCUGGG